AUACGGAGGAUCCGAGCGUUAUCCGGAUUUAUUGGGUUUAAAGGGAGCGUAGGCGGACGCUUAAGUCAGUUGUGAAAGUUUGCGGCUCAACCGUAAAAUUGCAGUUGAUACUGGGUGUCUUGAGUACAGUAGAGGCAGGCGGAAUUCGUGGGGUAGCGGUGGAAUGCUUAGAUAUCACGAAGAACUCCGAUUGCGAAGGCAGCCUGCUGGACUGUAACUGACGCUGAUGCUCGAAAGUGUGGGUAUCAAACAGGAUUAGAUACCCUUGUAGUCCACACAGUAAACGAUGAAUACUCGCUGUUUGCGAUAUACAGUAAGCGGCCAAGCGAAAGCGUUAAGUAUUCCACCUGGGUAGUACGCCGGCAACGGUGAAACUCAAAGGAAUUGACGGGG
RNAcentral lists this ribosomal RNA (393 nucleotides) under uncultured bacterium. Its description in RNAcentral is "partial 16S ribosomal RNA". It matches the Rfam family "Bacterial small subunit ribosomal RNA", at positions 523 to 918 of the family's 1533-position model. The record is from RNAcentral.